CCUACGGGAGGCUUCAGUGAGGAAUAUUGGUCAAUGGCCGGAAGGCUGAACCAGCCAUGCCGCGUGAAGGUCAGUGCCCUAUGGGCGUUAAACUUCUUUUGUGCGGGAGCAAUAAUGGUCACGUGUGGCCAGACGAGAGUACCGUACGAAUAGGCAUCGGCUAACUCCGUGCCAGCAGCCGCGGUUAUACGGGGGAUGCAAGCGUUAUCCGGAUUUAUUGGGUUUAAAGGGUGCGUAGGCUGUGAGGUAAGUCAGCGGUGAAAUGCCCCCGCUCAACGGGGUGAAGUGCCAUUGAUACUGGCGUGCUGGAAUGCGGAUGCCGUGGGAGGAAUGUGUGGUGUAGCGGUGAAAUGCAUAGAUAUCACACAGAACACCGAUUGCGAAGGCAUCUCACGAAUCCGCGAUUGACGCUGAUGCACGAAAGCGUGGGUAUCAAACAGGAGUAGAUACCCUAGUAGUC
RNAcentral lists this ribosomal RNA (460 nucleotides) under uncultured bacterium. RNAcentral describes it as "partial 16S ribosomal RNA". It matches the Rfam family "Bacterial small subunit ribosomal RNA", at positions 338 to 795 of the family's 1533-position model. The record is from RNAcentral.